GAAAUGCGAUAAGUAAUGUGAAUUGCAGAAUUCAGUGAAUCAUCGAAUCUUUGAACGCACCUUGCGCUCCUUGGUAUUCCUUGGAGCAUGCCUGUUUGAGUAUCAUGAAAUCUUCAAAGUAAAUCUUUUGUUAACUCAAUUGGUUUCUACUUUGGUAUUGGAGGUCUUUGCAGCUUCACACCUGCUCCUCUUUGUUCAUUAGCUGGAUCUCAGUGUUAUGCUUGGUUCCACUCGGCGUGAUAAGUUAUCUAUCGCUGAGGACACUGUAAAAGGUGGCCAAGGUAAAUGCAGUUGAACCGCUUCUAAUAGUCCAUUGACUUGGACAAUACUUUUAUGAUCUGAUCUCAAAUCAGGUAGGACUACCCGCUGAACUUAAGC
Molecule: unclassified non-coding RNA, 378 nt
Filed under: plant metagenome
Description: partial contains 5.8S ribosomal RNA, internal transcribed spacer 2, and large subunit ribosomal RNA
Rfam family: 5.8S ribosomal RNA (bases 1-105)
Source: RNAcentral